Molecule: ribosomal RNA, 467 nt
Filed under: uncultured bacterium
Lineage: Bacteria
Description: partial 16S ribosomal RNA
Rfam family: Bacterial small subunit ribosomal RNA
Source: RNAcentral
GACGAACGCUGGCGGCGUGCUUAACACAUGCAAGUCGAACGGAAAGGCCCUGCUUUUGUGGGGUGCUCGAGUGGCGAACGGGUGAGAACACGUGAGUAACCCGCCCUUUACUUUGGGAUAACUUCAGGAAACCGGGGCUAAUACCGGAUAGGAGCUUCUUCUGCAUGGUGGGGGGUGGAAAGUUUCGGCGGUUGGGGAUGGACUCGCGGCUUAUCAGCUUGUUGGUGGGGUAGUGGCUUACCAAGGCUUUGACGGGUAGCCGGCCUGAGAGGGUGACCGGCCACAUUGGGACUGAGAUACGGCCCAGACUCCUACGGGAGGCAGCAGUGGGGAAUAUUGCACAAUGGGCGGAAGCCUGAUGCAGCAACGCCGCGUGCGGGAUGACGGCCUUCGGGUUGUAAACCGCUUUCGCCUGUGACGAAGCGUGAGUGACGGUAAUGGGUAAAGAAGCACCGGCUAACUACGUG